CUUUUCCUUUUUGUUAAAUCUCAAGACAAAAUUGUCUGAUAUCUAAUUGUAGAAUCAAGAAGAAAAAUAAGCACAACAUCUAAAGAACGAACAGUGUACUCGACCACAAGAACUGGAUAUUCAUCAAAACACAUUACACAAAACAUUUGAGUCUGGCAAAUGUCAAAUAGCCUGUAUGACCUCUUGCCUCACCAGAAGGCCUAAUCACCACCGCAGGAGAAGAGGAGCAUUCAGUCCCAUUGCUUCCUUCAGCAGAACCCUGCCUCCUCUUCCGUGGAGGACGCUCAAUAGAAUCUCCUUCAUUUACUGGGCAGCCCUCUAGUAUCUUUUGUCUAACUUCAUAGGUGCGAAGAAGUACUUCAAAUGUUCUUAUAUCUGUAAACUGUGAUUUGAGUGCUUCACAUGAGCGCUGUACUUGCUCAAUGCAUGGAGAG
RNAcentral lists this unclassified non-coding RNA (434 nucleotides) under Hevea brasiliensis (rubber tree). The record is from RNAcentral. Lineage: Eukaryota; Viridiplantae; Streptophyta; Magnoliopsida; Malpighiales; Euphorbiaceae.